This 254-nucleotide ribosomal RNA is filed under the name uncultured bacterium. RNAcentral's name for it is "partial 16S ribosomal RNA". It matches the Rfam family "Bacterial small subunit ribosomal RNA", at positions 524 to 777 of the family's 1533-position model. The record is from RNAcentral.
UACGUAGGAGGCAAGCGUUGUCCGGAAUCACUGGGCGUAAAGAGCGUGUAGGCGGUCUGCCAAGUCUGUUGUGAAAGCCCCGGGCUCAACCUGGGAAUGGCAAUGGAUACUGGCAGGCUAGAGUGCGGUAGAGGGUAGUGGAAUUCCCGGUGUAGCGGUGAAAUGCGUAGAGAUCGGGAGGAACACCAGUGGCGAAGGCGGCUACCUGGACCAGCACUGACACUGAGGCACGAAAGCGUGGGGAGCAAACAGGG